RNAcentral lists this unclassified non-coding RNA (391 nucleotides) under soil metagenome. Its description in RNAcentral is "partial contains 5.8S ribosomal RNA, internal transcribed spacer 2, and large subunit ribosomal RNA". The stretch from base 1 to 122 matches the Rfam family "5.8S ribosomal RNA", at positions 35 to 154 of the family's 154-position model. The record is from RNAcentral.
GAUGAAGAACGUAGCGAAAUGCGAUACUUGGUGUGAAUUGCAGAAUCCCGUGAACCAUCGAGUCUUUGAACGCAAGUUGCGCCCGAAGCCACUAGGCCGAGGGCACGCCUGCCUGGGCGUCACACGCCGUUGCCCCCCCAUCUACUCCUUCGGGAUUGCGGGGGGGCGGAUGAUGGCCUCCCGUGCGCCUAGCAGCGCGGUUGGCAUAAAUACCAAGUCCUCGGCGACGCACGCCACGACAAUCGGUGGUUGCGAAACCUCGGUUGCCCGUCGUGUGCGUUCGUCGCGCAUCGAGGGCUCGAAAAAAUGCUCGGCUCCGGCUGGGCUUUCAACGCGACCCCAGGUCAGGCGGGGUUACCCGCUGAAUUUAAGCAUAUCAAUAAGCGGAGGA